ACUCAAAGGAAUAGACGGGGGCCCGCACAAGCGGUGGAGCAUGUGGUUUAAUUCGACGCAACGCGAAGAACCUUACCUGGGCUCGAACGGCUUCUGACAAGUGGUAGAAAUAUCGCCUUCUCGCAAGAGACAGGAGUCGAGGUGCUGCAUGGCUGUCGUCAGCUCGUGUCGUGAGAUGUUGGGUUAAGUCCCGCAACGAGCGCAACCCUCGUCCUGUGUUGCUACCCGCAAGGGGCACUCUCAGGAGACCGCCGGCGAUAAGCUGGAGGAAGGUGGGGAUGACGUCAAGUCAUCAUGGCCUUUAUGUCCAGGGCUACACACGUGCUACAAUGGACGGUACAAACCGCUGCAAACCCGCGAGGGGGAGCUAAUCGGAGAAAACCGUUCUCAGUUCGGAUCGCAGGCUGCAACUCGCCUGCGUGAAGCUGGAAUCGCUAGUAAUGGCGUAUCAGAACGACGCCGUGAAUACGUUCCCGGGCCUUGUACACACCGCCCGU
RNAcentral lists this ribosomal RNA (497 nucleotides) under uncultured bacterium. RNAcentral describes it as "partial 16S ribosomal RNA". It matches the Rfam family "Bacterial small subunit ribosomal RNA", at positions 899 to 1397 of the family's 1533-position model. The record is from RNAcentral.